This 317-nucleotide unclassified non-coding RNA is filed under the name Thelephora sp. RNAcentral's name for it is "partial contains 5.8S ribosomal RNA, internal transcribed spacer 2, and large subunit ribosomal RNA". The record is from RNAcentral. Lineage: Eukaryota; Fungi; Basidiomycota; Agaricomycetes; Thelephorales; Thelephoraceae.
AACGCAUCUUGCACUCUAGGGCAUUCCCUAGAGUACGCCUGUUUCAGUGACAGAAAGACCCCUCGUCUUAAAAUUUAUUUUUAGACGGAUUUGACUAGUUGGGUACGUCCUCGGAUGAACUCAAUUCAAGUCUAAUAAUUGAUGACUUAUAUUGACUAUAAGCUUGAUUACAGGUAUCAACUUGUAUCUUUUUGAUAUCAUUAGGAUAUAAGGCCUUGAAUUAGGUUGCUCAGUAUGCGAGUCUAAACAACUCUAUACCGUAAGGUAUAUACUUCAUAUUUGUUCUGAAAUCAGGUGGGAUUACCCGCUGAACUUAA